UGGGUAAAAGCAGUCGUUCAGAGGACGCCUACUCUCAUUCUCGUUCUAUUCCAUCUGUUUUUAAGUUGGUCUCAGCACCAGUCCCUCGACGCACGGCACGUCUCUACGGCUGGUAGUAGCAGUUCCAUCUGGAGCUGACGCCGGCGACGGUGCGGUUCUAGUCCUUCCACGAGCUCUCCUAGUCCCUCUUCCCACUCAAGUAGUAGCUGCUGUAGUUCAUGCUGCUCUUCUUCUUGGUGCACUAGCACAGCCCGGGGAAGCUGCGGCUGUUCGACCCGCUGUUCGAGACGACGUUCCGCACGUUGUAGUAGUUCCUCUAGCUCUGGCAGCUCGGCUAGUUCUUUGUCCUAGGGUUCGGAGGCGGCGGCUGCCUGUUCCACUUCGGGGGCCCGGGCCCAUUCCUACUCUGCCAGUUCCACUUCGUUGUCGGCGGCGGCGGCGGGGGAGGCCGCGGGUUCCAACACCUCCACGGCCACGGCAUGGGCACGGGGAUGGGGAUGGGCAAGGGCCGCCCCGGCAGGCCGACGACGACGGUGGUCCCUGUGCCGCCGACGGUCACGAGCCGCGGCCGCGGGGUCAUGUGGUACGGCGGCAGCAUAGGUACGCCGCCGAUGUACUACCAGACGCUCCUCCUGGGCAGGCCGCGGACGUGGCAGUACACUGAGCAAUGCGAGAUUAAGGAGCACAUAUUCGUGACAUUGCUACGCGUACAUGCUGGCUAGGGUCGCUUUUAAUACGUUAUUUUUUAGGCGUAAGCACAUUCACUUUGACACUUUGGUUGCUCCUCCUUCUGCAGUCACCGUCGUCUCGUGAGGGCGAAACAAAUACAACGUAAG
RNAcentral lists this ribosomal RNA (836 nucleotides) under Triticum aestivum (bread wheat). Its description in RNAcentral is "partial small subunit ribosomal RNA". Lineage: Eukaryota; Viridiplantae; Streptophyta; Magnoliopsida; Poales; Poaceae. The record is from RNAcentral.